CGAAAGCCUGACGGAGCAAUACCGCGUGAGGGAUGAAGGCCUCUGGGCUGUAAACCUCUUUUAUCAAGGAAGAAGAUCUGACGGUACUUGAUGAAUAAGCCACGGCUAAUUCCGUGCCAGCAGCCGCGGUAAUACGGGAGUGGCAAGCGUUAUCCGGAAUUAUUGGGCGUAAAGCGUCCGCAGGCGGCCGAUCAAGUCUGCUGUUAAAGCGUGGAGCUUAACUCCAUAAUGGCAGUGGAAACUGAUUGGCUGGAGUGUGGUAGAGGCAGAGGGAAUUCCCGGUGUAGCGGUGAAAUGCGUAGAUAUCGGGAAGAACACCAGUGGCGAAGGCGCUCAACUGGGCCGUAACUGACACUCAGGGACGAAAGCUAGGGGAGCG
This 379-nucleotide ribosomal RNA is filed under the name uncultured cyanobacterium. RNAcentral's name for it is "bacterial SSU rRNA". It matches the Rfam family "Bacterial small subunit ribosomal RNA", at positions 376 to 770 of the family's 1533-position model. The record is from RNAcentral. Lineage: Bacteria; Bacillati; Cyanobacteriota.